This 161-nucleotide ribosomal RNA is filed under the name Lysinibacillus fusiformis. Its description in RNAcentral is "partial 16S ribosomal RNA". It matches the Rfam family "Bacterial small subunit ribosomal RNA", at positions 338 to 497 of the family's 1533-position model. The record is from RNAcentral. Lineage: Bacteria; Bacillati; Bacillota; Bacilli; Caryophanales; Bacillaceae.
UCUACGGGAGGCAGCAGUAGGGAAUCUUCCACAAUGGGCGAAAGUCUUGAUGGAGCAACGCCGCGUGAGUGAAGAAGGUUCGGAUCGUAAAACUCUUUUGUAAGGGAAGAACAAAUACAGUUAAACGCGGUUGAUGACGUACUAUAUGAAGCCCCCCUCGC